Long non-coding RNA from Notothenia coriiceps (black rockcod), 1392 nucleotides. RefSeq lists it as uncharacterized. The transcript has 3 exons. The record is from RefSeq and is a predicted model, not a curated record. NCBI's taxonomy places the organism in Eukaryota, Metazoa, Chordata, Actinopteri, Perciformes, Nototheniidae.
UUCAUUAUUUAAUUAAAGUGCAUUAACUGUGACAGAUGUGCGUUUUUGUAUGCAAUGUGAAAAUCACCUUCAGACAUGCAUCCAUCCCAUUUAAGUUGUGAAUCAGACAUUUCAUUUUCUUUUACUUCACCAUGCAAAUGUGUGGCUGUAAUCCCCAGGAAAUAAAGUAGGCCUAGAAAAAGAAAUACAAAAAAGAAACUUGUGCUGCAGUGAAGAGGAAACUGGAGUCAGAAAGGACGACAGAUGGACACUUGUGGUAAAAAAUGAAAAAGUUGCAGGGACUUUGUGUCGCUCUGUAACGAGUCUCAUUACCAUGCCUCCCCCCUCCUCCCCACCGACACCCUUCCUCACUCCUGGCAACAGCAGACAAAGCGCGCGGGUUUUAGUGGUCUCCGGGCAGCCUUUGAUCUAAGCCCGUUAAGGAGAAGGGAGUCUGGGGGAAUCAGGGCUAAGGAGGAAGGUAACGUCAUCUAAAAUAUGUUUACCUAUACAUUGUACAAUCAAUAAUUUCAUUAGAUUUUUCAAUGUGGGACAAAAUGCAUCCUAAUUUGCAUAUGAGUCAACACCUGAGGGUAAGAUGUUGCCAACUUGCCAAGUCUGUUUCAUUUCUGUGACUUUUUUUCUCUAACUGCAAAAUAUAUUUAUCCACCAGGUAAAUAAACCCAGGAGCCUGAACUUUAAGAGAACCGGACCUCCAAGAACUAAACUCUACAAGAAGCAGGGAGGGCCUUCAAACCGAGGCCUGGACCAGUUUGAAGAGCUGCCCUUUUUGCUUGGUCCCUGCAUGAUGCCCUGAGCUGCUUCCUCUGCUUAGAGACCUUCCUUCCUGUCUGAGGGACACCUGUUGGUGCAGAGCAGCUCCGAAAAGCCAUGUUGUCCCGUAAGAACGGCCUCCUUCCCCACUGAAGUCACCUGGUCAUGGUGUGUGUGUGGCGCCACACGCCUUCUCCAUCAAGACCGCAGGCUCACGGCUGCCACAGGGCGAGCUGAAUGUCUUCACUGAGGAGGCUGACACAAAAAAAAUCGUAAGUUUACGCACUUCCAUCUGUGUUUUCUAAGCGAGCGAGACUUUGAUGUUUGUGAGUCGGGCCCUGGGCAGGGGGCUGAGGCCUGACUGGAGCGCUGGGGCCUAAUGAAUAGAUCCACAACAGUGGCUUGUUGUGUUUGUUUACCCUUUCACCCAGCUGCCUGGAUCGUGGAGGUGGGAGGGCAUUCAUCAUGACCUAGGAGAGAUGGGAGGCAUGGGCACAUAUACUGAAGAAUGACAUGAUGGCGCACACUCUGCACAGUGUGCCAAAAAAGUGCCCAAACAAGGCAGUAACCGUCAAUACACGCCACGAGCGAAUAAAAGGACCAACAAAGAAAAUGUCAAACUUAUUGCAAUUGCCAUAA